RNAcentral lists this ribosomal RNA (253 nucleotides) under uncultured bacterium. Its description in RNAcentral is "partial 16S ribosomal RNA". It matches the Rfam family "Bacterial small subunit ribosomal RNA", at positions 524 to 776 of the family's 1533-position model. The record is from RNAcentral.
UACGUAGGGUGCAAGCGUUGUCCGGAAUUAUUGGGCGUAAAGAGCUCGUAGGCGGUCUGUUGCGUCGGCUGUGAAAACCCGGGGCUCAACCCCGGGCCUGCAGCCGAUACGGGCAGACUUGAGUUCGGUAGGGGAGACUGGAAUUCCUGGUGUAGCGGUGAAAUGCGCAGAUAUCAGGAGGAACACCGGUGGCGAAGGCGGGUCUCUGGGCCGAUACUGACGCUGAGGAGCGAAAGCGUGGGGAGCGAACAGG